UAGCGCAGUCCGGUUAGCGCACCUGCUUUGGGAGCAGGGGGCCGCAGGUUCGAAUCCUGC
RNAcentral lists this transfer RNA (60 nucleotides) under Bacteroidota bacterium. RNAcentral's name for it is "Bacteroidetes bacterium tRNA-Pro". It matches the Rfam family "tRNA", at positions 8 to 63 of the family's 71-position model. Rfam says of the family: Transfer RNA (tRNA) molecules are approximately 80 nucleotides in length. Their secondary structure includes four short double-helical elements and three loops (D, anti-codon, and T loops). The record is from RNAcentral. Lineage: Bacteria; Pseudomonadati; Bacteroidota.